GCAGCUCUUCGUUACAUUGCCAGUAAUACGACAAGUCAGGUCAAUGGUACCCAAGGAUUUGGAUAUCCGGGUCAAAGUUGACGAAUACCUGGAUUGGCAGCACACAAAACACCAGAAACCAUGGCGUCGGAUACUUCUACAACAAGAUGAUAGCACCAGGCGUAACCAAGAAGCCGAUGGACGAGCCAUUGGUGAACCGGCACAAAGAGGCACUGGGCCAAGUAGAAAAAGCACUUCGUAGACUACUUCCUCGCCUCGAAGCCUUUCAUUGUCGGCGACCACUUGACCAUUGCUGACCUUGCUGCUGCCUGUGAGUUCGAGCAACCUUUGGCCGGAGGUUAUGAUCUUUUCACAGCCAGUCAGGGAAUACCUGAAAAGGGUCGUAAAAAAUGCUCUUGGGCCGCACUACCAAGAGGUGCAUAAGGUCCUGCAUGAUACUAUGAAACAGUGAAACACACUUGAACGCUAAGAUUGCUCAGUUUUUAUGAAAUCUUGGGAUAAUAAAUGAAAAUUUACAGAUACUAAA
This is a long non-coding RNA of Macrobrachium nipponense, 526 nucleotides long. RefSeq lists it as uncharacterized. The transcript has 2 exons. Lineage: Eukaryota; Metazoa; Arthropoda; Malacostraca; Decapoda; Palaemonidae. The record is from RefSeq and is a predicted model, not a curated record.